UUUUUAAUAAUUUUUUAUUACAGUGAAACCCGCUUAAGUACCCCCCGCUUAAGUGCCUAACCCGAUUAAGUAACCAAAAUUUUUAGACACCAUGAAUUUUUUAAUGUAUUCUGAAGAAAAUCCC
Molecule: long non-coding RNA, 124 nt
Organism: Rhagoletis zephyria (snowberry fruit fly)
Lineage: Eukaryota; Metazoa; Arthropoda; Insecta; Diptera; Tephritidae
Source: RefSeq, a predicted model, not a curated record